CAGUCGCCGCGGGAAUACGUAGGUCCCGAGCGUCGUCCGGAUUUAUUGGGCGUAAGCGAGCGCAGGCGGUUAGAUAAGUCUGAAGUUAAAGGCUGUGGCUUAACCAUAGUACACUUUGGAAACUGUUUAACUUGAGUGCAAGAGGGGAGAGUGGAAUUCCAUGUGCAGCGGUGAAAUGCGUAGAUAUAUGGAGGAACACCGGUGGCGAGAGCGGCUCUCUGGCUUGUAACUGACGCUGAGGCUCGAAAGCGUGGGGAGCAAACAGGAUUAGAUACCCGAGUAGUCCCUGUCUCUUAUACCA
This 301-nucleotide ribosomal RNA is filed under the name uncultured bacterium. RNAcentral's name for it is "partial 16S ribosomal RNA". It matches the Rfam family "Bacterial small subunit ribosomal RNA", at positions 509 to 809 of the family's 1533-position model. The record is from RNAcentral.